UGUCAUUUUAUUUCCCACCGUGUGGUAAGAUCCCACCACCUGUCAUUAUGGUGCAGAACGUGAGCUUCAAAUAUACGAAAGACGGGCCUUGCAUCUACAAUAAUCUAGAAUUUGGCAUUGACCUUGACACACGAGUGGCUCUGGUAGGACCCAACGGAGCAGGGAAGUCCACUCUGCUGAAGCUGCUAACCGGAGAGCUUCUGCCUACAGAUGGAAUGAUCCGGAAGCAUUCUCAUGUCAAGAUAGGGCGUUACCGUCAGCACUUACAGGAGCAGCUGGACCUUGACCUUUCACCAUUGGAAUACAUGAUGAAGGGCUAUCCAGAGAUCAAGGAGAAGGAGGAGAUGAGGAAGAUCAUUGGGAGAUAUGGCCUCACUGGGAAACAGCAGGUGAGCCCAAUCCGGAACCUGUCGGAUGGGCAGAAGUGCCGAGUGUGCCUGGCCUGGCUGGCCUGGCAGAACCCUCACAUGCUCUUUCUGGACGAGCCUACCAAUCACCUGGACAUCGAGACCAUUGAUGCUCUGGCAGAUGCCAUCAANGAGUUUGAGGGUGGCAUGAUGCUAGUCAGCCAUGACUUCAGACUCAUCCAGCAGGUUGCACAGGAGAUUUGGGUCUGUGAGAAGCAGACAAUCACCAAGUGGCCUGGAGACAUCCUGGCCUACAAGGAGCACCUCAAGUCCAAGCUGGUAGAUGAGGAGCCCCAGCUCACCAAGAGGACCCACAAUGUGUGAGCCCUCAGCCAGGCUUGGGUCAGGAAUGCCACCUGGAGACUGCCAGCUGACACCUGACCAGCCACUCAGGACAGGACCCUGGGGCUGCACUCCUGCACUGCUGCAAUACUGCCCUCAGCCUCUCCCCUCAGCCUGCCUUCGCUGCAUCAUAUCUCCAGCUGGACAGCACCUGUCCGUUUUCCCACCCUCCUUCCAUUUGGGUCUGUCUGUUUGGACUCAGCUGGCUGUUCUCUCCAGACCCUUGCUGGUUACCUUGCCCUGAAAGAUGCAGCCAGGGGUACCUGGGUUAACCCAAGGGCCCAAGCCCUGGUCUGGCCCUGGAAGGAUUCAAGAGCCUCAUUUUAUG
Molecule: non-coding RNA, 1077 nt
Organism: Mus caroli (Ryukyu mouse)
Lineage: Eukaryota; Metazoa; Chordata; Mammalia; Rodentia; Muridae
Source: RefSeq, a predicted model, not a curated record